This 292-nucleotide ribosomal RNA is filed under the name uncultured Planctomycetota bacterium. RNAcentral describes it as "uncultured planctomycete partial 16S ribosomal RNA". Lineage: Bacteria; Pseudomonadati; Planctomycetota. The record is from RNAcentral.
GGACUACAAGGGUAUCUAAUCCCGUUUGCUCCCCUGGCUUUCGCGCCUCAGCGUCAGAAGAGGGCCAGCAGCUCGCUUUCGCCACCGGCGUUCCUUCCGAUAUCAACGCAUUUCACCGCUCCACCGGAAGUUCCAGCUGCCCCUACCUCCCUCCAGUUUCCCAGUAUCCAAGGCCCUUUUCCGGUUGAGCCGAAAGAUUUCACCCCGGACUUGGGAAACCGCCUACGCGCCCUUUAAGCCCAGUGAUUCCGAACAACGUUUGCACGGUUCGUCUUACCGCGGCGGCUGGCAC